UAUUCAUAUUUUCUUUAUUCUUUUUUCAAAAUAUAAAAUAAAUUUGAAAUAAGAUAUAAAAAGUAAUUUUCUUCAUAAAAAUUCACACAAUUCGCAUCUCAUUUAGUAACUUUGCACAUUUUCAUAAAACGCUUCUAACAAAUCCAUCGACUCGAGAAGCGAUAAUGUAUCAUUGUUUCCUCCGUUAAGUUUUUCUUACUUUACGUAAGAACGAGAAUAGUUUUAAAACGUAUUAUUAAUAAUAAAUCAAUUAGACGAUAAUUGUUUUCAAGCAAGAAGAACAAUUUUAAAUUCACUUGUGAUGAGAAAAAUCUUUAUUCGUAUAUUCGAAUUUAAAAACAAAAGAAAACGAUAAAUUUGAGGUUAGAUUUCUUUAACAUACAAGAUGUUUCAUUCAACAAAGAAACUUGUAAAGUAAUUGUUCCAAUUUCUGGGUUAUUUUUAAUUGUAAGUGAUCGUGAAGUGAUCACGUUCACUCAAUGCCGGUAAAAUAUUUUUCCACUUCCUAGAAGUGAAUCUGAAAAACAUUCUACAAAAGAACCGACAUUAAUUUCACGAUAAGAUAGGACGUAAGUUAAAAAAGGAAGAUUCGGACGCCAAGUGCGUUAUUUGCAUUCCGCCAUAGAGAUUUCUCAGUAAAACGAUCUCGCGGAGUUAUCCAGGAAGUCGAAAUUACAGGAAGUUUGGAAACUAAAAUUUGAUAGCUAUGUUUUUUUUAAAUGACAAUUACACGUGUCGUAAUCGGAACGGAAACGAACGUGAAAGAUGCAGGAAGCAAAAUCUAUGUGAAAUUGUCAAGUAGAUAGACUGAAUAUGUCAGUUCGAUAUAAGAUAAUGAUCGGUUACACGUGGCAACUAGCAUUAUAAUUACGGAUAGAAUUUCAUCUGUCAGAAAAACAAGAAUUUUUUUACUGGAUAUGCCUCUGUGAUUUCACUUAUAAAGAAAGGAAUAAAUUUAUAAAAUAAUUAUAAAA
Molecule: long non-coding RNA, 974 nt
Organism: Apis cerana (Asiatic honeybee)
Lineage: Eukaryota; Metazoa; Arthropoda; Insecta; Hymenoptera; Apidae
Source: RefSeq, a predicted model, not a curated record